This is a long non-coding RNA of Bombyx mori (domestic silkworm), 751 nucleotides long. RefSeq lists it as uncharacterized. The transcript has 2 exons. Lineage: Eukaryota; Metazoa; Arthropoda; Insecta; Lepidoptera; Bombycidae. The record is from RefSeq and is a predicted model, not a curated record.
AGUUAUGUACUCAACUGUCUUCGCCUCAGUUGUGUCAACCGCCUGGGGCACAAUACGCGACAUUUCAAACACAUAUUGUCAAUUAUGUGGUGGUGUUCAACCUCAUUGCCGUUUUGAGGAGAGCUACGGAUACUGAUUUCAUCCGGAAUGUAUCGACAGUAAGCAGAAGCGUCCUCCAAGAUGAGCCAGGACCACAAAGCAUCCACGGACUCCUCAACUGAACACCGAUACAAAAUAGUUAUUAAAAUGAAAUAUAUUAAUUUUCUCAAAUUUUUGCAAUUCGCAGACACGAUUCCAAAGUUCAUGUUUCGUUUUUAUAAUUGAUAUUUUAUAAUUUCUGACGUUUUCAAUACUUUAUUGAAUUGUUGAAGUGUACAACACGAGAUAAAGCAGUAAAAUGUAAUUAAUUUAUCGAUACAGCAAUAGAUCAACACAUCCCUAACACAAACCGUCAGCAUCUCUUUGAUACAAAACCCCGUAGGUAAUCCUUUUCGGCUACCGUUUUAUCACUCUUUUCAUUUCAUUGAUAAUAUUAUACGAAAAUAUACUUUAAAGUUUACCCAUUAGAUAUAUUUUAGUAUGAUAUAAUAAUUGGCCACAUCAUUUGUACGGAUGGAGUCAUUUAAUUCAGGAUUUAUUAGGCUUUUCAAUUCGGCUGAGUUAUUAUGGAUUUGAGUUUUUGUUUAAUUCGUCUCGUCACACCGUAUUUGUUACGACAAAAUUACGAUUAAAUAAAGCAGUUGCAAACUUU